Long non-coding RNA from Pelmatolapia mariae (spotted tilapia), 1092 nucleotides. RefSeq lists it as uncharacterized. The record is from RefSeq and is a predicted model, not a curated record. NCBI's taxonomy places the organism in Eukaryota, Metazoa, Chordata, Actinopteri, Cichliformes, Cichlidae. The transcript is spliced from 6 exons.
GGGAAAUUAAAGCAGCGAUCACUUGGACUAUUCCACAGCACCCCUCUCACAUUGGUACAUCCCCCCAGGUAUUGUCUUCUACAGUAGAGCGGGACAUUUGAUUUACUCUCAGCGGAAUUGACCGGAGAAGGCAUCAGUUCAUGCACUGCACUGGCCUGCACCACGAUUAGUAUAAGGCACAUUUCACGAAGCAGAACGCAGUCUUCAGAGAUAUUCACGUGAACGCUGUGAUACGUCUGACCUUCAGUCUGAAGAAGAAACCCAGACCAGUCUUAAAAGAAAGCACAAACCAAAUCCCCUGUACACAUAUACGGACUCAGAGGAUGAGCAGCCUACAAAAAAACGGUUUCCCCAGGCCCCUCGAGUGAAAAUACCAGCCCUCAUCACUCCGCAGACUGCGGAGUGAUGAGGCAUUAUGAUGAUAGCAUUAUGAUGAUAGCAACCAUCAUAAUGCCCCACCCAGCUUCCGGCACCUUUCGCUACUCCGGCACAAACCGACACAGCUUUGCGAUCUCGCCAGCAUGCAGAGUCUGAUGUCUUCCCUAUAGAUGGUAUGCUUUUAAAAAAGCUUUAAAGCUGCAUCACAAUGUCAUUGUACUCUUAUCUUCAAAACACCAGUUUAUACUCCUGAAUGUCAUCUUGUUGUGAUUUUUUUUUCUGUAGAUUCCAGAGACUCUGUGAGGCCACUAUUACAAGGUGAGACGCUUUGCGUUGAUUGGUGCUGCUGGACCACACUGGAGGUGCGAGUCCGCUGUGUAAUGGUUUAUGCCAUUACAAAGGAGCUGGCCUCUGUACUCAACUGGGCAGGGAAAAAAUACCAAGGACCAGACAAAGCAAAAAAGGGCAUUUAAAGAGACAGCGCUGUGCAGAUGCAUAUUUGAUGGCCUGGCGCAGCAGGUAGGGGCGAACUCUAUGUCUGAGUUGGUCUUUGCUCAAGCAGUCCAGAAAUGGCUCAGAUAUGCUCCAGAUCGUACGGGUGGCACGCAGGACGCCCAUCAUCCAUCCCCAUCCCGGAGUAAAUAAUAAAAAGUGACGUGAAACAUAGAAAUGUAAAUAGGAAACUUUGUCUUUUAAUAAAGUAUUUUGCAAAUG